RNAcentral lists this ribosomal RNA (292 nucleotides) under uncultured eukaryote. RNAcentral's name for it is "partial 18S ribosomal RNA". It matches the Rfam family "Eukaryotic small subunit ribosomal RNA", at positions 6 to 295 of the family's 1831-position model. The record is from RNAcentral.
GGUUGAUCCUGCCAGUAGUCAUAUGCUUGUCUCAAAGAUUAAGCCAUGCAUGUCUAAGUACAUACUUUUUGAUGGUGAAACCGCGAAUGGCUCAUUAAAUCAGUUAUGGUUCCUUAGAUCGUACGAUCCUACUUGGAUAACUGUGGCAAUUCUAGAGCUAAUACAUGCAAAAAGGCACCGACUCACGGAGGUGCGAUUUUAUCAGUUCAAAACCAAUCGGUCGCAAGGCCGUCACUUUGGUGAAUCUGGAUAACUUUGUGCUGAUCGCACGGCCCUCGUGCCGGCGACGUAU